RNAcentral lists this ribosomal RNA (451 nucleotides) under Rhynchostegium murale. Its description in RNAcentral is "eukaryotic LSU rRNA". The stretch from base 1 to 125 matches the Rfam family "5.8S ribosomal RNA", at positions 29 to 154 of the family's 154-position model. The record is from RNAcentral. Lineage: Eukaryota; Viridiplantae; Streptophyta; Bryopsida; Hypnales; Brachytheciaceae.
UGCAUCGAUGAAGAACGCAGCGAAAUGCGAUACGUAGUGUGAAUUGCAGAAUUCCGCGAAUCAUCGAGUCUUUGAACGCAAGUUGCGCCCGAGGCUUGUCCGAGGGCAUUUCCGCUAGAGCGUCACCGCGCCCCCCACCGAUCCGCUCCCGCCGCGAGGCGCCAGUCGGUUCGAGUGGAAGUGGCCGUCCCGGUCGCGUCGAGCGAGUGAGGGUCGGCUGAAAUGGAUGGAAUCGGGCCGCCGUGGUGACACAGUCCGCGAUCGGGUGAUUUUCCGCGAGCCUCCCCCGGGAGGGUCGCCGCGAAUUUUUUCUAAGUGCGUGGCUGCGUCCCCCAGUUGGUUUCGGCUCCCUCGUGCAGGUCGUGCGCGCCCCCCGCGGCGCGCGUCACGCAUCAGACCUCUAAUCGGAAAAGACUACCCGCUGAGUUUAAGCAUAUCAAUAAGCGGAGGA